RNAcentral lists this ribosomal RNA (234 nucleotides) under uncultured Candidatus Saccharibacteria bacterium. Its description in RNAcentral is "partial 16S ribosomal RNA". It matches the Rfam family "Bacterial small subunit ribosomal RNA", at positions 584 to 818 of the family's 1533-position model. The record is from RNAcentral. Lineage: Bacteria; Candidatus Saccharimonadota.
UAAGUAGAUAGUGAAAUCCUGGGGCUCAACCCCUUACACAUUGUCUAAACUGCCAAGCUAGAGGGCGAGAGAGGUAGCUAGAAUUCCUAGUGUAGGAGUGAAAUCCGUAGAUAUUAGGAGGAAUACCGAUGGCGUAGGCAGGCUACUGGCUCGUCCCUGACACUAAGGCACGAAAGCGUGGGGAGCGACCGGGAUUAGAUACCCGUUAGUCCACGCCGUAAACGAUGGAUGCUA